AAUAUGCCGUCAUGUUACCCGAGUGAUAAAUGAAGAGAGACGGAUCACUCUUGCUUGUUUGAAACCCGUAUGAGACAAUGAAUUCCUUGAGUGAAUCAUGCCAAGCACGUGGAGCUUGUCGAAGGCCAUAUAUGGCUUUGUGGAGUUUGCAAACAUAUUCAGGAUGUGAGGGAUCUUUCAUACCUGAUGGCUGCUCCAUAAACACUUCUUCAGUAAGUGCACCUUGGAGGAAUGCUUUAUUUACAUCAAGUUGGUGCAUUGCCCAUUGAUUUGAGAUAGCAAGAGUGAGGAUAAUCUUGAUCGUUUGAGGACGAACAACUGGAGCAAAUGUCUCUUUAAAAUCAAUUCCAGGGCAUUGUGUGAAGCCCUUUGCAACAAGUCGUGCCUUAUAUCGAGCAAUAGAGCCAUCACUAUUUCGUUUAAUACGGAACAACCAUUUGCACCCUACUAUAUUUUGUCCUGCCUUGGGAGGGACAAGAGAAAAGGUACCAUUUCUGAUUAAGGCUUCAAAUUCAUCUGCAAUUGCUCUACGCCA
RNAcentral lists this long non-coding RNA (535 nucleotides) under Medicago truncatula (barrel medic). Its description in RNAcentral is "long non-coding RNA (MTRU_LNC008619)". Lineage: Eukaryota; Viridiplantae; Streptophyta; Magnoliopsida; Fabales; Fabaceae. The record is from RNAcentral.